This 468-nucleotide ribosomal RNA is filed under the name uncultured bacterium. RNAcentral describes it as "partial 16S ribosomal RNA". It matches the Rfam family "Bacterial small subunit ribosomal RNA", at positions 28 to 507 of the family's 1533-position model. The record is from RNAcentral.
GACGAACGCUGGCGGCGUGCUUAACACAUGCAAGUUGAACGGAAAGGCCCUGCUUUUGUGGGGUGCUCGAGUGGCGAACGGGUGAGUAACACGUGAGUAACCUGCCCUUGACUUUGGGAUAACUUCAGGAAACUGGGGCUAAUACCGGAUAGGAGCUCCUGCUGCAUGGUGGGGGUUGGAAAGUUUCGGCGGUUGGGGAUGGACUCGCGGCUUAUCAGCUUGUUGGUGGGGUAGUGGCUUACCAAGGCUUUGACGGGUAGCCGGCCUGAGAGGGUGACCGGCCACAUUGGGACUGAGAUACGGCCCAGACUCCUACGGGAGGCAGCAGUGGGGAAUAUUGCACAAUGGGCGGAAGCCUGAUACAGCAACGCCGCGUGCGGGAUGACGGCCUUCGGGUUGUAAACCGCUUUCGCCUGUGACGAAGCGUGAGUGACGGUAAUGGGUAAAGAAGCACCGGCUAACUACGUG